CUCUGGGAAAUGGAGGGAGUGUGAAUUAUUAUUUGUGUCAUUAAUGAAGGGAAAUGGAAUGGAGUUUGUAAUGUCUCCUUUGUGCCUGUCAGUAUGGUGAAGUUUUUAAAAAGAUGGACAUUAAUAUGGAUCCAUUUGAUUUUUAUAUGUAAUUAAACAAUUGUUGUGCAUUAACACACUGAAGGAAAAUGUUAGUUUGGUGAAUCCAAGUGAAAGAUAUUUGUGAGUAGUUUGUAUACUCUUACAAUUUUUCUAUAAAUUUGCAGUUACUUCAGAUUAAAAACUUAAGAAUUUUGCAAUCCAGUGGUGAUUUGAAAUCACUGGGUUUUUUGUUUGUUUGUUUGUUUCUUGCUUUUUAGGCCUCCAUGUGCUAUGGGUGUGGCCCUAAAAAGACAAAAGACAAAAAAAGAAAUAAAAAAUAAAAAUAAAAUUUCUGUUGUCCUUAAAAAGCCGCCCAACAGCCCUGGCCCACAUGCACCUUAUUAGAGCAGGUGGCUGAAGCCAUGCCCUCUUGAAGCGGAGAAGCUGGCUCUGGAUCCGAGCUGUUAGGCAGCUUCAUAUGUCAUAGAGGAGACGUGUUUUUUUCAAUGUUUUCAAAAAGGAUUGCAGGAUCACCUAAACAGUCUAUAUCUUGAUGCUUGAUCAGUGUUAUUUAGUAGUUGGAAUACUUAUCCAACCAACUCUUAAUUAGCGAUUUUCACUGGCCCCACAAAAUUAGUGAGGCUGGUGUGUCCUCAUCUCUGGGAACAAGGGACUGAAGCACCAGGAAGUUGAGAAGCUUGUUUCAAAUGUCCCAGUAGUCUUCCUUGAACUAGGUUUUCCCACAGUAUUUGUUUGUCACAUACAUACAGAAGAGUCCGCUCUCCCAGUUGAAAUAUAUUUUUCUAGUAGAAAAUGAAUUCUUAGCUCUCUGGAAAUAAACAUCUUUGCAAUGCCUCUCAUAUCACAGCAUCACCCUUUUAACUUUGAAGCAUGGCUUUUAUUCUUACGUCUGUAUUCGUGUUAAAUUAGGAGGAACUCUGACUCGAGGAAAAAAAAAUAUAUAUUUUUUACUAUUUUGUACACCUUUAUGUAAUAACACGUCAAAAGAUCAAGUAUCGUAUACUAUUAACCUUCUGUUACCAAUAUACUGUUUUACAGUAAAACUGUUUCCCUGGAUGAGCAAAGGAAAAUGCUAAAAAGCACUUUCAGGAUAUUUUACCAAUUUUUGGUGAUCCAUGCUGAUUAUUAUACCUCAUUGCCAUUCACCUGUUAUCAAACCGAAAUUAACCUUCAGGUGGGGUCUGGGUGACAGUAAAGGAUGAAGCAUGCCACAGCCAGCACGCGUUUAUCUUAUUCCAAACCCUUAGAACGUAGAAUUAAAAGAACUCAUGUACGAGAAAACCAGACACUCAUUAAGCAUAAUCGCCAAUUAAGUCUGUGUUUGAGCAAGCAUAAGCUAGAUCAAUUGUAUUCAUUUGUUUGAAUGUUGUAAUAUUUUUUAAAAUGUACUCACUCAAGUGGAAAAGUUUCAUACCAGGAGACUGCAUUAAUAAACACAGUACAUCUUUACAGCAGUGAAAAUGAACACAGUGCAGCUAUCUGCAUCAACAUAGGUGAAUCUCACGUUAGGGGAGAAAACGGAAGAAUGUUAUAGUAAUGAUACCACUUGUGUGAAGAUCAAAAACCAAGCCAGCGACCACGACGUACAAAUGUGGUAAAACGGUGCAGGAAGCGAGGGAAGGACAGGUGUCAGGCAAGGAGGGUCGCUACCUGGGGAUGGGGCGGAGUGGAGGGAGCAGAGGCUGCGUCAGAAAGGCUCCAGGGGAGUUUCUGUGAUGUUGCCGAGACGUUCUCAUCUGGAGGUUGGGUUGUUGUUUUACAGGUGUUCAUUCAUUACGAUGCCUUAUGCCCCAUUGACACUCUGCUAUGGAUCAGAUCAUUUCUAAUUCAGUUCUUAUUAAAGCUUAAGGCUUUCUCUUCCAGCAAAAUUCCGUUUUCAUUUUGAUGCAUGUUGAUGCUGCAUUUGAAGCUUUCUUAUACGAUCUUUAAGUAUAAAAUAAUUGUAAACUCAUAAAAAUAAGAAACACUUGCAUUUCCAAGAAAUCCUCAGCUCUUGCAAUAGUUUAUUUUUAUAAUUCAUUUAUAUUCCUUGAAACUUCUAGAUGCAUGCACGUUAACAGCAGGGGAUUGAAAUAAAGGAAAAUGAAAAUAAAAGAAUGGAAACAGAACAUCUCUCCUGGCUUGUGGAGACCUGCUUUGAGUCAAGCUUUAGGUCAUUGCAGAAUAUUGAGUAGAUUUCCCUGUGCUCUGAGGCAGGCCCUUGUUACCUGUUUUAUAAAUACUAGUGUGUGUGUGUAACCCCCCCCCCAAUGCUUAUCCCUCCCCAUUAUGGUUCCAACGGAGGGUUUUAAUAUAAGGAAUCUCACCCUCAGAUUUGUGUUAAGGCAGCGUGAGAGGUGGUUGUGGAGCAGAUGGGACUAGAGGCAGAGGCAGCAGUCAGAAGGCUCUGGCAAUGGUCCAGAGAAGAGGCACCGAGGGUUUGCACCAGCAGCAGCAGUGGGGAAACCUGUUAAAGAAUUCACAGUUCAGAUCUGGAGAGAGGAGAGCGUCGCAGCCUGGAGUGAUGUUUCUGACCUGGGUGAAGGAUGGUGUCAUCUCAAGAAAUGCGGCAUCACUGUGUCUCCAGCUUGCCUUGUUUUUUGUAGUUGACAAAGUGCUUUCACGUGCGUUGUGUGGUUCCUGCCCUCUUCGCCCCUGUGUGCUCUGGUGCAGUGACUUCUGCUGUGAGCCUGACUUCCUGCUGCCUCGUAAGCCUUUGUCUCUGUUCCUAGUCCUCCCUCACCCCCUUGAUCUUCUAACCCCCCACGUGUUUCUCUAGUUCCUCCUCUUCCUCUUCUCUUUCUGUGUAGACAGUCAGGAUGGCUAAACCUGACUGCCCCAGUUGGCACCCUUGCUGAUGGUAUCCGUUAUUUGAUUUCAUUUAUCUCCACAAAGACCCCCGCCCCCCACUUCCUGUCCUGUUUUCUGAACAUUUAGUGUAUUUGCAGCGAUUGAGCUAAUUAAAAUCUUCCUUCCCUAUUUCUUUACUUCUUGUUUAUUUUUAUGACUACAUUUCUCAUUCACCAGGGUCCAAAGCCUUAAAACUGGGUUUAAAUCCUUCCUCUACUCUUAUACCUAAUCAUUUAUCAGAUUCUAUUCAUUCUAUCUUCAAAAUAUCAUCGACCUUUUUUUUGUUACCGCUACUCUACUUCCAACCCUAUGGUUGCUUACCUAUAUCACUCCUCAACCCCUAACCUGUCCCCUCUCCAUUAGUAUCCAGUUUCUCCCAUCCAUCAUAUAUAUUCCUGCCCGAAUAAUCCUGCUAACACAUACUCCAGGCAUUUCUCUCCCUUGUCGAAAUAUCUUGACGAGGUUGAAACUACCAGUUGCAUAAGGAUCACCGGCAUUGCUCUGGAAUUGAGAACUUCUAGGAUCUGCAUGUCAGCUUGCUAAACUUACUUUCUCCAGUUUCCCGUUUUGCACGCUGCUUUCCAGACACCUUAUCCCGUGGUCUUAAACAGCUCCCCACGCGCAUACCUCCCUGUGUCAUCUCUUUCUUCCUGUGCUUUACCAUUCCCAGUCUCCAGAUAUCUAAAACGCUGCGUAAGUAGUCACAUUUUUUUCCAGAUCUUGGACAUGAAGGUAAUCCGUUUCUCCCUUGAACUACUCGAGCACUUUAUCUACCUUACGGUCCAUGCCACGUUCUGUGUGGUGUCUCUUGCUAAACUGUAAGCUCUUUUAGCUCAUGAUUUAUUUCUGACUUAGCCCAGUAGCUCCUUCAGCCGUUAGCAUUGUGCGCUAUGCCUGGUAUAUAUGCUCAAGGUAAUACGUGUAGACAGAAAGGAUCUGCUCCUAUAGCAACUCAGUCAAGUAAGCAAGGCAGGUAACAUUAGCCCCUUUUGAAAGGUCAGGAAGCAGCCACAAAGAGGCUAAGAGAUUGCCCUGUGGUGCCCGAACGCCUGCUGAAAUGCCUCUUUCUAACGCCAAGCCAGUGUCUCUGACUUCACCACGCCACCUCUCAAGGUAGCUGACCUCAAGCAAGCGGAAAGAAGACGUAAGUAGCAGAUGAAUGGUGCUAGGUCAGAGGUUUACAUUUUCCAAACUCCGAGAAUUAAAAUUUUGUUUUGAGGAGUUCCUGUCGUGGCUCAGUGGUUAACGAAUCCGACUAGGAACCGUGAGGUUGCGGGUUCGGUCCCUGGCCUUGCUCAGUGGGUUGAGGAUCUGGCAUUGCCGUGAGCUGUGGUGUAGGUUGCAGACGCGGCUUGGAUCCUGCGUUGAUGUGGCUCUGCAGCGGUGGCUGCAGCUCCGAUUGGACCCCUAGUCUGGGAACCUCCAUAUGCCACGGGAGCGG
RNAcentral lists this long non-coding RNA (4372 nucleotides) under Sus scrofa (pig). RNAcentral's name for it is "lncRNA (ENSSSCG00035029751.1)". Lineage: Eukaryota; Metazoa; Chordata; Mammalia; Artiodactyla; Suidae. The record is from RNAcentral.